UACGUAGGGUGCGAGCGUUGUCCGGAAUUACUGGGCGUAAAGAGCUCGUAGGUGGUUUGUCGCGUUGUUCGUGAAAACUCACAGCUCAACUGUGGGCGUGCGGGCGAUACGGGCAGACUGGAGUACUGCAGGGGAGACUGGAAUUCCUGGUGUAGCGGUGGAAUGCGCAGAUAUUGGGAAGAACACCUGAGGCGAAGGCGGGUUGCUGGGCCGACACUGACGCUGAGGCGCGAAAGCCAGGGGAGCGAACGGG
RNAcentral lists this ribosomal RNA (253 nucleotides) under uncultured bacterium. RNAcentral's name for it is "partial 16S ribosomal RNA". It matches the Rfam family "Bacterial small subunit ribosomal RNA", at positions 524 to 776 of the family's 1533-position model. The record is from RNAcentral.